RNAcentral lists this unclassified non-coding RNA (205 nucleotides) under Hevea brasiliensis (rubber tree). The record is from RNAcentral. Lineage: Eukaryota; Viridiplantae; Streptophyta; Magnoliopsida; Malpighiales; Euphorbiaceae.
AAUUUCGACAGAGUGUCGGCUGUAUUUGAGAAAAUCGAAAAAUUUUACAUGUAGAAAACACUUCCAAUAUAAUAUUUCAUCAAUUCACAACCACCAUUAUAGCUCAAAUUAGCACAAUUUCUUCCAAACUCCAUAAUUCAAUCAAUAUGUCACAACUCAAAAUUCAAUUCAAUUAUUUCCAAAAAUAGUAAUAAUUAAUUUCAUA